RNAcentral lists this ribosomal RNA (565 nucleotides) under uncultured Bifidobacterium sp. RNAcentral's name for it is "bacterial SSU rRNA". It matches the Rfam family "Bacterial small subunit ribosomal RNA", at positions 146 to 712 of the family's 1533-position model. Lineage: Bacteria; Bacillati; Actinomycetota; Actinomycetes; Bifidobacteriales; Bifidobacteriaceae. The record is from RNAcentral.
UCUCCUGGAAACGGGUGGUAAUGCCGGAUGUUCCACAUGAGCGCAUGCGAGUGUGGGAAAGGCUUUUUGCGGCAUGGGAUGGGGUCGCGUCCUAUCAGCUUGUUGGUGGGGUAACGGCCUACCAAGGCGUUGACGGGUAGCCGGCCUGAGAGGGCGACCGGCCACAUUGGGACUGAGAUACGGCCCAGACUCCUACGGGAGGCAGCAGUGGGGAAUAUUGCACAAUGGGCGCAAGCCUGAUGCAGCGACGCCGCGUGCGGGAUGGAGGCCUUCGGGUUGUAAACCGCUUUUGUUCAAGGGCAAGGCACGGUUUCGGCCGUGUUGAGUGGAUUGUUCGAAUAAGCACCGGCUAACUACGUGCCAGCAGCCGCGGUAAUACGUAGGGUGCAAGCGUUAUCCGGAUUUAUUGGGCGUAAAGGGCUCGUAGGCGGUUCGUCGCGUCCGGUGUGAAAGUCCAUCGCUUAACGGUGGAUCCGCGCCGGGUACGGGCGGGCUUGAGUGCGGUAGGGGAGACUGGAAAUUCCCGGUGUAACGGUGGAAUGUGUAGAUAUCGGGAAGACACCAA